RNAcentral lists this ribosomal RNA (491 nucleotides) under uncultured bacterium. RNAcentral's name for it is "partial 16S ribosomal RNA". It matches the Rfam family "Bacterial small subunit ribosomal RNA", at positions 29 to 506 of the family's 1533-position model. The record is from RNAcentral.
AGUGAACGCUGGCGGUAGGCCUAACACAUGCAAGUCGAACGGCAGCACAGUAAGAGCUUGCUCUUACGGGUGGCGAGUGGCGGACGGGUGAGGAAUACAUCGGAAUCUACUUUUUCGUGGGGGAUAACGUAGGGAAACUUACGCUAAUACCGCAUACGACCUACGGGUGAAAGCAGGGGAUCUUCGGACCUUGCGCGAUUGAAUGAGCCGAUGUCGGAUUAGCUAGUUGGCGGGGUAAAGGCCCACCAAGGCGACGAUCCGUAGCUGGUCUGAGAGGAUGAUCAGCCACACUGGAACUGAGACACGGUCCAGACUCCUACGGGAGGCAGCAGUGGGGAAUAUUGGACAAUGGGCGCAAGCCUGAUCCAGCCAUACCGCGUGGGUGAAGAAGGCCUUCGGGUUGUAAAGCCCUUUUGUUGGGAAAGAAAAGCAGCAGGUUAAGACCCCGCUGUUCUGACGGUACCCAAAGAAUAAGCACCGACUAACUUCGU